GUGCACGCUGGCGGUAGGCCUAGCACAUGCAAGUCGCACGGCAGCACAGUAAGAGCUUGCUCUUACGGGUGGCGAGUGGCGGACGGGUGAGGAAUACAUCGGAAUCUACUUUUUCGUGGGGGAUAACGUAGGGAAACUUACGCUAAUACCGCAUACGACCUACGGGUGAAAGCAGGGGAUCUUCGGACCUUGCGCGAUUGAAUGAGCCGAUGUCGGAUUAGCUAGUUGGCGGGGUAAAGGCCCACCAAGGCGACGAUCCGUAGCUGGUCUGAGAGGAUGAUCAGCCACACUGGAACUGAGACACGGUCCAGACUCCUACGGGAGGCAGCAGUGGGGAAUAUUGGACAAUGGGCGCAAGCCUGAUCCAGCCAUACCGCGUGGGUGAAGAAGGCCUUCGGGUUGUAAAGCCCUUUUGUUGGGAAAGAAAAGCAGCAGGUUAAUACCCCGCUGUUCUGACGGUACCCAAAGAAUAAGCACCGGCUAACUUCGUG
Molecule: ribosomal RNA, 491 nt
Filed under: uncultured bacterium
Lineage: Bacteria
Description: partial 16S ribosomal RNA
Rfam family: Bacterial small subunit ribosomal RNA
Source: RNAcentral